This is a long non-coding RNA of Maniola jurtina (meadow brown), 151 nucleotides long. RefSeq lists it as uncharacterized. The transcript has 3 exons. NCBI's taxonomy places the organism in Eukaryota, Metazoa, Arthropoda, Insecta, Lepidoptera, Nymphalidae. The record is from RefSeq and is a predicted model, not a curated record.
AGCGCUUCCUGUCGCAGACUCGCGAUCGCUUCUAUCUUGCGCUAUUCUCAUACAAAUGGCUUGCAUUCAUCUACGUUACACUAGUCCGCAUCUAAUGGCCUGAUGUAUCGUUAUAGUAAAAUAAUCUCUACCACAUCUAGAGCCGUAUCUU